UGUUUUCACUAUUGUAAGUUGCUUUGGACAAAAGCAUCUGCCAAAUGUAAUGUA
Regulatory RNA element from Astyanax mexicanus (Mexican tetra), 54 nucleotides. It matches the Rfam family "UnaL2 LINE 3' element". Rfam says of the family: The eel long interspersed element (LINE) UnaL2 and its partner short interspersed element (SINE) share a conserved 3' tail containing a stem-loop that is critical for their retrotransposition. Presumably, the first step of retrotransposition is the recognition of their 3' tails by UnaL2-encoded reverse transcriptase. Lineage: Eukaryota; Metazoa; Chordata; Actinopteri; Characiformes; Acestrorhamphidae. The record is from Rfam.